CGCCGUUACCCGAGGGGAAACUCGCUCCCGUAGUUGCCGUCUGCGGGAUCGGUGCGUGUCGACGCUUGGCCUGGCGCGGAUCAGUGCGUGCCGAGUUGCCGAAGACUGGGAGUGUUCGGUCCGGUCCUCGCAGUACGGGAUGUGACAGGCUGUGGGAGCUGCCGGUCAGUCUGACAACUACAAAUACCUAAGGUUACACACUUUGCUUUCAUAAUGGAGUCGUCUGGAGGUGAAUUAACUCUUCCUCUGAAGUCUGUUGCAAUCCUAAGAUACAUAUGUAUGAAUCUUUGCAGUCUUCCUUGAGGAAAGUGGUGUCUGUCCUACAGCGUGAGAAAAAAGGACCGCUUUGUGGAAUGCUUCCAUUUGGCGGCAGCACCCUGCACUCGUUUCCUCCGUGGCGGCGAGCAGAACAGGAAGCUUUCUGUACCCUGCACAGCCUAGGACCUGGGAGAAGCUCUGCAGCCUGCUCAGCUGUGCUUCACACAUCUCCCAAGUGCUAAGUGAGAAGAACAAGAGGAAUACUUCAAGCACUCCUGUGCCUUCAGGAUAUGGUUGACAGCACUGCACAAGUGUGACUGAGAUCCUGAUAAGCAAGUGAAAUGACAUGGAUGCAUAAGUUUACCAAAAACAGAACUAAGAGAAUGUUGCUGGGGUGACAGAUGGAACAAAACUUUGGUGAACAUGGAUUGAGAAUGCUUUGGCACCUAUUGCAGGUUUGAUGAUCACUUUUGCGACACUUCUGUUUCAACGGGACCCCGACAACAGUGAUGCGGAGGAAAAGUCCAGUUCAGAUACCUGCUACUCAGAAGGUCCUUCAUCACGGAACUAGUUUUCCCUACUUCUCCCUUCUCUUUUUUUUAAGAGAAUAGAUGCUUUCAUUCCUGUCACAGUAAGGUGGAGUAUU
This is a long non-coding RNA of Gymnogyps californianus (California condor), 904 nucleotides long. RefSeq lists it as uncharacterized. The record is from RefSeq and is a predicted model, not a curated record. Lineage: Eukaryota; Metazoa; Chordata; Aves; Accipitriformes; Cathartidae. The transcript is spliced from 6 exons.